UAAUGGGUCAGCGACUUAUAUUCUGUAGCAAGGUUAACCGAAUAGGGGAGCCGAAGGGAAACCGAGUCUUAACUGGGCGUUAAGUUGCAGGGUAUAGACCCGAAACCCGGUGAUCUAGCCAUGGGCAGGUUGAAGGUUGGGUAACACUAACUGGAGGACCGAACCGACUAAUGUUGAAAAAUUAGCGGAUGACUUGUGGCUGGGGGUGAAAGGCCAAUCAAACCGGGAGAUAGCUGGUUCUCCCCGAAAGCUAUUUAGGUAGCGCCUCGUGAAUUCAUCUCCGGGGGUAGAGCACUGUUUCGGCAAGGGGGUCAUCCCGACUUACCAACCCGAUGCAAACUGCGAAUACCGGAGAAUGUUAUCACGGGAGACACACGGCGGGUGCUAACGUCCGUCGUGAAGAGGGAAACAACCCAGACCGCCAGCUAAGGUCCCAAAGUCAUGGUUAAGUGGGAAACGAUGUGGGAAGGCCCAGACAGCCAGGAUGUUGGCUUAGAAGCAGCCAUCAUUUAAAGAAAGCGUAAUAGCUCACUGGUCGAGUCGGCCUGCGCGGAAGAUGUAACGGGGCUAAACCAUGCACCGAAGCUGCGGCAGCGACACUAUGUGUUGUUGGGUAGGGGAGCGUUCUGUAAGCCUGUGAAGGUGGCCUGUGAGGGUUGCUGGAGGUAUCAGAAGUGCGAAUGCUGACAUAAGUAACGAUAAAGCGGGUGAAAAGCCCGCUCGCCGGAAGACCAAGGGUUCCUGUCCAACGUUAAUCGGGGCAGGGUGAGUCGACCCCUAAGGCGAGGCCGAAAGGCGUAGUCGAUGGGAAACAGGUUAAUAUUCCUGUACUUGGUGUUACUGCGAAGGGGGGACGGAGAAGGCUAUGUUGGCCGGGCGACGGUUGUCCCGGUUUAAGCGUGUAGGCUGGUUUUCCAGGCAAAUCCGGAAAACCAAGGCUGAGGCGUGAUGACGAGGCACUACGGUGCUGAAGCGACAAAUGCCCUGCUUCCAGGAAAAGCCUCUAAGCAUCAGGUAACAUCAAAUCGUACCCCAAACCGACACAGGUGGUCAGGUAGAGAAUACCAAGGCGCUUGAGAGAACUCGGGUGAAGGAACUAGGCAAAAUGGUGCCGUAACUUCGGGAGAAGGCACGCUGAUAUGUAGGUGAAGCGACUUGCUC
This 1161-nucleotide ribosomal RNA is filed under the name Escherichia coli. Its description in RNAcentral is "partial 23S ribosomal RNA". It matches the Rfam family "Bacterial large subunit ribosomal RNA", at positions 613 to 1774 of the family's 2925-position model. The record is from RNAcentral. Lineage: Bacteria; Pseudomonadati; Pseudomonadota; Gammaproteobacteria; Enterobacterales; Enterobacteriaceae.